This 307-nucleotide long non-coding RNA is filed under the name Mytilus galloprovincialis (Mediterranean mussel). The record is from RNAcentral. Lineage: Eukaryota; Metazoa; Mollusca; Bivalvia; Mytilida; Mytilidae.
UUUCAGGUGAACAUGGCGAAGCUAACUAUUCAAAAUACUGCAACAAAGUGGUGUCUUACUUCCUGUAGUGAAACAAUGUCAACGGAAGGCUUUCACGUAUAUUUGUGGUAAUCAAGAAUGAACCACUGAUGUAUGCAUUAUACAAUCAACUAAAUUAUGGAUACUAUACACCUUUAUUAUCAGAAGACAACACUAUUUUUUUUAUGAUUAACCAGCUUGUUUACUAGGUAAAGAACCAUUAUACUGAAUGGUACGUCGCCAAGGAUAUUAAAAACAAUCGAUAGGAUGUAAUGAAGUGAAUAGUUAU